UGACCUUGAUUUUCUUAGUGCCUUCCUCGA
Molecule: small RNA, 30 nt
Filed under: Bombyx mori (domestic silkworm)
Lineage: Eukaryota; Metazoa; Arthropoda; Insecta; Lepidoptera; Bombycidae
Description: ovarian small RNA-8109
Source: RNAcentral